GACGAACGCUGGCGGCGUGCUUAACACAUGCAAGUCGAACGAAAAGGCUCCGUUGGGGGUACUCGAGUGGGGAACGGGUGGGUAACACGUGAGUAACCUGCCCACGACUUCGGGAGAGCUAGAUGACACUAGGGCUAAUACAGAACGGGAAUGCUGGCUGCAUGGUGGGGGUUGGACAGCUUCGGCGGUUUGGGAUGGACUCGCGGCUUAUCUGCUAGUUGGUGGGUUAGUGGUUUACCAAGGCUUAGACGGGUGGCCGGCCUGAGGGGGGGACCGGCCACAUUGGGACGGAGAAACGGCCCAGACCCCUACGGGGGGCAGCGGUGGGGAUUAUUGCAAAAGGGGCAGAAGCCUGAUGCAGCAACGCCGCGGGCGGGAGGACGGCCUUCGGGUUGAAAGCCGUGUUCAGCAGGAGCGAGGCGUGUGGUGACGGUACCUGCAGAAGAAGCACCGGCUAACUACGUG
Molecule: ribosomal RNA, 465 nt
Filed under: uncultured bacterium
Lineage: Bacteria
Description: partial 16S ribosomal RNA
Rfam family: Bacterial small subunit ribosomal RNA
Source: RNAcentral